Molecule: ribosomal RNA, 300 nt
Filed under: Cupriavidus sp.
Lineage: Bacteria; Pseudomonadati; Pseudomonadota; Betaproteobacteria; Burkholderiales; Burkholderiaceae
Description: partial 16S ribosomal RNA
Source: RNAcentral
AGUCAGCACGGUAGCUCGCGGCUGCGAUCACCUCCUUACUCCUGGGGAGCGGAUGACGGUCGUGUUUACAUUCUCGCGCCCCGUGCUGAUGAUCUUAGCUAGUCGUAAGAGUAGCUAAGAAGGCCUUCGGGUUGUAAAGCACUUUUGUCCGGAAAGAAAACCUUCGCCCUAUACCGCACAUUCCUGAGGGUGACAGCGGGGGACCGGUAGCGGCGCGCGAUAGGAGCGGGCCAGAUAGAUGAGCUGUAGGUUGGGGGGUAAGGGAUUAGCGAGCCGCGAGAAUGGCACCUGAGAGUAGGU